UUAGCGGCGGACGGGUGAGUAACACGUGGAUAACCUACCUAUAAGACUGGGAUAACUUCGGGAAACCGGAGCUAAUACCGGAUAAUAUUUUGAACCGCAUGGUUCAAAAGUGAAAGACGGUCUUGCUGUCACUUAUAGAUGGAUCCGCGCUGCAUUAGCUAGUUGGUAAGGUAACGGCUUACCAAGGCAACGAUGCAUAGCCGACCUGAGAGGGUGAUCGGCCACACUGGAACUGAGACACGGUCCAGACUCCUACGGGAGGCAGCAGUAGGGAAUCUUCCGCAAUGGGCGAAAGCCUGACGGAGCAACGCCGCGUGAGUGAUGAAGGUCUUCGGAUCGUAAAACUCUGUUAUUAGGGAAGAACAUAUGUGUAAGUAACUGUGCACAUCUUGACGGUACCUAAUCAGAAAGCCACGGCUAACUACGUGCCAGCAGCCGCGGUAAUACGUAGGUGGCAAGCGUUAUCCGGAAUUAUUGGGCGUAAAGCGCGCGUAGGCGGUUUUUUAAGUCUGAUGUGAAAGCCCACGGCUCAACCGUGGAGGGUCAUUGGAAACUGGAAAACUUGAGUGCAGAAGAGGAAAGUGGAAUUCCAUGUGUAGCGGUGAAAUGCGCAGAGAUAUGGAGGAACACCAGUGGCGAAGGCGACUUUCUGGUCUGUAACUGACGCUGAUGUGCGAAAGCGUGGGGAUCAAACAGGAUUAGAUACCCUGGUAGUCCACGCCGUAAACGAUGAGUGCUAAGUGUUAGGGGGUUUCCGCCCCUUAGUGCUGCAGCUAACGCAUUAAGCACUCCGCCUGGGGAGUACGACCGCAAGGUUGAAACUCAAAGGAAUUGACGGGGACCCGCACAAGCGGUGGAGCAUGUGGUUUAAUUCGAAGCAACGCGAAGAACCUUACCAAAUCUUGACAUCCUUUGACAACUCUAGAGAUAGAGCCUUCCCCUUCGGGGGACAAAGUGACAGGUGGUGCAUGGUUGUCGUCAGCUCGUGUCGUGAGAUGUUGGGUUAAGUCCCGCAACGAGCGCAACCCUUAAGCUUAGUUGCCAUCAUUAAGUUGGGCACUCUAAGUUGACUGCCGGUGACAAACCGGAGGAAGGUGGGGAUGACGUCAAAUCAUCAUGCCCCUUAUGAUUUGGGCUACACACGUGC
RNAcentral lists this ribosomal RNA (1147 nucleotides) under Staphylococcus aureus. RNAcentral describes it as "bacterial SSU rRNA". It matches the Rfam family "Bacterial small subunit ribosomal RNA", at positions 92 to 1225 of the family's 1533-position model. The record is from RNAcentral. Lineage: Bacteria; Bacillati; Bacillota; Bacilli; Caryophanales; Staphylococcaceae.